This 467-nucleotide ribosomal RNA is filed under the name uncultured bacterium. Its description in RNAcentral is "partial 16S ribosomal RNA". It matches the Rfam family "Bacterial small subunit ribosomal RNA", at positions 28 to 506 of the family's 1533-position model. The record is from RNAcentral.
GACGAACGCUGGCGGCGUGCUUAACACAUGCAAGUCGAACGGAAAGGCCCUGCUUUUGUGGGGUGCUCGAGUGGCGAACGGGUGAGUAACACGUGAGUAACCUGCCCUUGACUUUGGGAUAACUUCAGGAAACUGGGGCUAAUACCGGAUAGGAGCUCCUGCUGCAUGGUGGGGGUUGGAAAGUUUCGGCGGUUGGGGAUGGACUCGCGGCUUAUCAGCUUGUUGGUGGGGUAGUGGCUUACCAAGGCUUUGACGGGUAGCCGGCCUGAGAGGGUGACCGGCCACAUUGGGACGGAGAUACGGCCCAGCCUCCUAGGGGGGGCAGCGGGGGGGAAUUUUGCAAAAGGGGCGGAAGCCGGAUGCAGCAACGCCGGGGGGGGGAUGACGGCCUUCGGGUUGUAAACCGCUUUCGCCUGUGACGAAGCGUGGGUGACGGUAAUGGUGAAAGAAGCACCGGCUAACUACGU